UACGUAGGGAGCAAGCGUUGUCCGGAUUUAUUGGGCGUAAAGAGCUCGUAGGCGGCUUAGCAAGUCGGGUGUGAAAACUCCAGGCUCAACCUGGAGACGCCACUCGAUACUGCUAUGGCUUGAGUUCGGUAGGGGACCAUGGAAUUCCUGGUGUAGCGGUGAAAUGCGUAGAGAUCAGGAAGAACACCGGUGGCGAAGGCGCUCUGCUAGGCCGCAACUGACACUGAGGGACGAAAGCUAGGGGAGCGAAUGGG
RNAcentral lists this ribosomal RNA (254 nucleotides) under uncultured bacterium. Its description in RNAcentral is "partial 16S ribosomal RNA". It matches the Rfam family "Bacterial small subunit ribosomal RNA", at positions 524 to 776 of the family's 1533-position model. The record is from RNAcentral.